AUGCAGUGAUCAUGCAGCCUGUGUAAUUCUGGGAGUUGGGGUCUAAAAAUCCAUGAAUUUUCCCUCGUGGAGGGAGAGUAGCCGAACGAGAGGGAGAGACACAUGAAGAAAUACAAUUAACUUUUGAGAGAGAAUGUUAAUCUGUUCAAAAAUCCCGUUGGGGUACGGGGAAUGUUGGCCUCUCUCUGCCUGUCGCUGGUCCAAAAUGCGAAGGAGUUUGCUCCGGCAUCUCUAUAGCAACCGGUUGUCACCGGCAACGGCUUUGAAGCAUCUCUCUUUUUCUGGCAGGACUGGUGGGUGGGCAAGGAAAGACAGAGGGAAAGAGAGGAGGCAGGAGAGAAAAACCAUCCAUAGCCUCCUGGAAUUCCUUCUCCUAAGCUUGGAGGGGAAAGGGUUUGCCUUGCUUAUUUGGAAACCGGUUCCCUCAGGCCAUCACCACUUUCUCCACAUCCGAGCUCAGCCUCGGUAUGCCGCUGGUCCUCAGUGAGGCACAAGAAAGAAGCUUGACGCAAGCAAUCUCUGUGGGCAAAAUCCAUCCACCAGGCCGUUUACAGAUCCAGCCGAAGACUGGUUCUCCAGGCCGCGGGUGGUAUCAAAUGAAGAGGAACCUCCACAGGUUUCUUCAGGAAUCGGAGAACCUUCUGUACAGAUAAAACAGACGGAGGGUGGACCUAUGGCCAGGUCUGGUUCGAGAAGGUGGUCAAGGUGUGGAGAGAACCAUGCUUUUGUGUGCCUACUAAACUA
This is a non-coding RNA of Pogona vitticeps (central bearded dragon), 744 nucleotides long. Lineage: Eukaryota; Metazoa; Chordata; Lepidosauria; Squamata; Agamidae. The record is from RefSeq and is a predicted model, not a curated record.